CCUACGGGUGGCAGCAGUGGGGAAUAUUGGACAAUGGGCGAAAGCCUGAUCCAGCCAUGCCGCGUGUGUGAAGAAGGCCUUCGGGUUGUAAAGCACUUUCAGUGGGGAAGAAAGCCUUGGGGCUAAUACCCUCGAGGAAGGACAUCACCCACAGAAGAAGCACCGGCUAACUCCGUGCCAGCAGCCGCGGUAAUACGGAGGGUGCGAGCGUUAAUCGGAAUUACUGGGCGUAAAGCGCGCGUAGGCGGUCUGAUAAGCCGGUUGUGAAAGCCCCGGGCUCAACCUGGGAACGGCAUCCGGAACUGUCAGGCUAGAGUGCAGGAGAGGAAGGUAGAAUUCCCGGUGUAGCGGUGAAAUGCGUAGAGAUCGGGAGGAAUACCAGUGGCGAAGGCGGCCUUCUGGACUGACACUGACGCUGAGGUGCGAAAGCGUGGGUAGCAAACAGGAUUAAUACCCGAGUAGUC
RNAcentral lists this ribosomal RNA (464 nucleotides) under Vreelandella stevensii. RNAcentral describes it as "partial 16S ribosomal RNA". It matches the Rfam family "Bacterial small subunit ribosomal RNA", at positions 338 to 795 of the family's 1533-position model. Lineage: Bacteria; Pseudomonadati; Pseudomonadota; Gammaproteobacteria; Oceanospirillales; Halomonadaceae. The record is from RNAcentral.